GGUUAAGCGACUAAGCGUACACGGUGGAUGCCCUGGCAGUCAGAGGCGAUGAAGGACGUGCUAAUCUGCGAAAAGCGUCGGUAAGGUGAUAUGAACCGUUAUAACCGGCGAUGUCCGAAUGGGGAAACCCAGUGUGAUUCGUCACACUAUCGUUAACUGAAUACAUAGGUUAACGAGGCGAACCGGGGGAACUGAAACAUCUAAGUACCCCGAGGAAAAGAAAUCAACCGAGAUUCCCCCAGUAGCGGCGAGCGAACGGGGAGCAGCCCAGAGUCUGAAUCAGCUUGUGUGUUAGUGGAACGGUCUGGAAAGUCCGACGGUACAGGGUGAUAGUCCCGUACACCAAAAUGCACAGGCUGUGAACUCGAAGAGUAGGGCGGGACACGUGGUAUCCUGUCUGAAUAUGGGGGGACCAUCCUCCAAGGCUAAAUACUCCUGACUGACCGAUAGUGAACCAGUACCGUGAGGGAAAGGCGAAAAGAACCCCGGCGAGGGGAGUGAAAAAGAACCUGAAACCGUGUACGUACAAGCAGUGGGAGCACCUUCGGGUGUGACUGCGUACCUUUUGUAUAAUGGGUCAGCGACUUAUAUUCUGUAGCAAGGUUAACCGUAUAGGGGAGCCGCAGGGAAACCGAGUCUUAACUGGGCGUUAAGUUGCAGGGUAUAGACCCGAAACCCGGUGAUCUAGCCAUGGGCAGGUUGAAGGUUGGGUAACACUAACUGGAGGACCGAACCGACUAAUGUUGAAAAAUUAGCGGAUGACUUGUGGCUGGGGGUGAAAGGCCAAUCAAACCGGGAGAUAGCUGGUUCUCCCCGAAAGCUAUUUAGGUAGCGCCUCGUGAAUUCAUCUUCGGGGGUAGAGCACUGUUUCGGCUAGGGGGUCAUCCCGACUUACCAACCCGAUGCAAACUACGAAUACCGAAGAAUGUUAUCACGGGAGACACACGGCGGGUGCUAACGUCCGUCGUGAAGAGGGAAACAACCCAGACCGCCAGCUAAGGUCCCAAAGUCAUGGUUAAGUGGGAAACGAUGUGGGAAGGCACAGACAGCCAGGAUGUUGGCUUAGAAGCAGCCAUCAUUUAAAGAAAGCGUAAUAGCUCACUGGUCGAGUCGGCCUGCGCGGAAGAUGUAACGGGGCUAAACCAUGCACCGAAGCUGCGGCAGCGACACUAUGUGUUGUUGGGUAGGGGAGCGUUCUGUAAGCCUGCGAAGGUGUGCUGUGAGGCAUGCUGGAGGUAUCAGAAGUGCGAAUGCUGACAUAAGUAACGAUAAAGCGGGUGAAAAGCCCGCUCGCCGGAAGACCAAGGGUUCCUGUCCAACGUUAAUCGGGGCAGGGUGAGUCGACCCCUAAGGCGAGGCCGAAAGGCGUAGUCGAUGGGAAACAGGUUAAUAUUCCUGUACUUGGUGUUACUGCGAAGGGGGGACGGAGAAGGCUAUGUUAGCCGGGCGACGGUUGUCCCGGUUUAAGCAUGUAGGCUGAUUGUCCAGGCAAAUCCGGAUAAUCAAGGCUGAGGUGUGAUGACGAGGCACUACGGUGCUGAAGUAACAAAUGCCCUGCUUCCAGGAAAAGCCUCUAAGCAUCAGGUAACAUUAAAUCGUACCCCAAACCGACACAGGUGGUCAGGUAGAGAAUACCAAGGCGCUUGAGAGAACUCGGGUGAAGGAACUAGGCAAAAUGGUGCCGUAACUUCGGGAGAAGGCACGCUGGUGUGUAGGUGAAGCCCCUGCGGGUGGAGCUGAGACCAGUCGAAGAUACCAGCUGGCUGCAACUGUUUAUUAAAAACACAGCACUGUGCAAACACGAAAGUGGACGUAUACGGUGUGACGCCUGCCCGGUGCCGGAAGGUUAAUUGAUGGGGUUAUCCGUAAGGAGAAGCUCUUGAUCGAAGCCCCGGUAAACGGCGGCCGUAACUAUAACGGUCCUAAGGUAGCGAAAUUCCUUGUCGGGUAAGUUCCGACCUGCACGAAUGGCGUAAUGAUGGCCAGGCUGUCUCCACCCGAGACUCAGUGAAAUUGAACUCGCUGUGAAGAUGCAGUGUACCCGCGGCAAGACGGAAAGACCCCGUGAACCUUUACUAUAGCUUGACACUGAACAUUGAGCCUUGAUGUGUAGGAUAGGUGGGAGGCUUUGAAGCGUGGACGCCAGUCUGCGUGGAGCCAACCUUGAAAUACCACCCUUUAAUGUUUGAUGUUCUAACGUUGGCCCCUUACCGGGGUUGCGGACAGUGUCUGGUGGGUAGUUUGACUGGGGCGGUCUCCUCCCAAAGCGUAACGGAGGAGCACGAAGGUUAGCUAAUCCUGGUCGGACAUCAGGAGGUUAGUGCAAUGGCAUAAGCUAGCUUGACUGCGAGCGUGACGGCGCGAGCAGGUGCGAAAGCAGGUCAUAGUGAUCCGGUGGUUCUGAAUGGAAGGGCCAUCGCUCAACGGAUAAAAGGUACUCCGGGGAUAACAGGCUGAUACCGCCCAAGAGUUCAUAUCGACGGCGGUGUUUGGCACCUCGAUGUCGGCUCAUCACAUCCUGGGGCUGAAGUAGGUCCCAAGGGUAUGGCUGUUCGCCAUUUAAAGUGGUACGCGAGCUGGGUUUAGAACGUCGUGAGACAGUUCGGUCCCUAUCUGCCGUGGGCGCUGGAGAAUUGAGGGGGGCUGCUCCUAGUACGAGAGGACCGGAGUGGACGCAUCACUGGUGUUCGGGUUGUCAUGCCAAUGGCACUGCCCGGUAGCUAAAUGCGGAAGAGAUAAGUGCUGAAAGCAUCUAAGCACGAAACUUGCCCCGAGAUGAGUUCUCCCUGAGACUUUAAGUCUCCUGAAGGAACGUUAAAGACGAUGACGUUGAUAGGCCGGGUGUGUAAGCGCAGCGAUGCGUUGAGCUAACCGGUACUAAUGAACCGUGAGGCUUAACCUU
This 2902-nucleotide ribosomal RNA is filed under the name Klebsiella pneumoniae. RNAcentral's name for it is "23S ribosomal RNA". It matches the Rfam family "Bacterial large subunit ribosomal RNA". The record is from RNAcentral. Lineage: Bacteria; Pseudomonadati; Pseudomonadota; Gammaproteobacteria; Enterobacterales; Enterobacteriaceae.